AGCGAACGCUGGCGGCAGGCCUAACACAUGCAAGUCGAACGGAUCCUUCGGGAUUAGUGGCGGACGGGUGAGUAACACGUGGGAACGUGCCCUUUGGUUCGGGACAACUCAGGGAAACUUGAGCUAAUACCGGAUGUGCCCUUCGGGGGAAAGAUUUAUCGCCAUUGGAGCGGCCCGCGUCUGAUUAGCUAGUUGGUGAGGUAAAGGCUCACCAGGGCGACGACCAGUAGCUGGUCUGAGAGGAUGAUCAGCCACAUUGGGACUGAGACACGGUCCAAACUCCUACGGGAGGCAGCAGUGGGGAAUCUUGCGCAAUGGGCGAAAGCCUGACGCAGCCAUGCCGCGUGAAUGAUGAAGGUCUUAGGAUUGUAAAAUUCUUUCACCGGGGACGAUAAUGACGGUACCCGGAGAAGAAGCCCCGGCUAACUUCGUGCCAGCCGCCGCCGUAA
RNAcentral lists this ribosomal RNA (449 nucleotides) under uncultured bacterium. RNAcentral describes it as "partial 16S ribosomal RNA". It matches the Rfam family "Bacterial small subunit ribosomal RNA", at positions 29 to 523 of the family's 1533-position model. The record is from RNAcentral.